CCUACGGGAGGCAGCAGUGAGGAAUAUUGGUCAAUGGGCGGAAGCCUGAACCAGCCAAGUAGCGUGCGGGAUGAAGGCCCUACGGGUCGUAAACCGCUUUUGCACGGGGAUAACACCCUCCACUUGUGGAGGUCUGCAGGUACCGUACGAAUAAGGGCCGGCUAAUUCCGUGCCAGCAGCCGCGGUAAUACGGAAGGCCCGAGCGUUAUCCGGAUUCAUUGGGCUUAAAGGGAGCGUAGGCGGGCCGUCAAGUCAGCGGUGAAAGUCUGCGGCCCAAACCGGGCCCCGCAGUUGAAACUGGAAGCCUUGAGUUCACAACAGGCAGGCGGAAUUCGUGGUGUAGCGGUGAAAUGCAUAGAUAUCACGAGGAACCCCGAUUGCGAAGGCAGCCUGCCGGGGUGCGACUGACGCUGAGGCUCGAAGGUGCGGGUAUCAAACAGGAUUAGAUACCCCUGUAGUC
This 460-nucleotide ribosomal RNA is filed under the name uncultured bacterium. Its description in RNAcentral is "partial 16S ribosomal RNA". It matches the Rfam family "Bacterial small subunit ribosomal RNA", at positions 338 to 795 of the family's 1533-position model. The record is from RNAcentral.